AGGAGGAAGCGUGUAGUUUUGAGAUAAACUUAGAAACUAAGCAUUUGAGAUCAGCAAUAACAUAAACAAAAUUCAUAAUCUAAUUAACUGGUCUGCAAGAGAAUCACCUAUGAUCUUUGUAAAUUGAUGAAUUAGGGAGGGCUUCCAUGUUUAGCUAUGCUUUGAUGUAUUGUUCGGCAAUGCUCAGGCUAGCAGCCUACAAAUUAGAGGCAUCAUAUAUGUUUUGCUAGGCAAAAGGGAAAAACACAAUCAAAAUCUUAUUUGAACGGACAACUCUUGCACUGAGAUUUUACAAGAGUGAUACCUUGGUGUUGCGUUCAGAUUUAAACGACUCGGAGACCUGAUGCCUACAUUGAAAAACAAACCAAGUCCGUCAGCUUGGGAGAGGGCUGCUUUCCAUGAGAAGCAAUUAUAAAAUUCUAUGACAAGAGAUUGUAAGCAUCUAAAAUCAAGCCAAACUAUCUAAUUAGAAGGCAUAGAAGGACUACACACUAAUCUUUGUAAUAUAAGCAUAAGCAUGCUCAUCUCCCCAACCAGGACGACGACGACGACUCCAACCAAGCAUGUCCAGCUCUCUAAGGAGCCAUGGGUGACAAAUAUAUGAUUGUACACUAACUCAAAUGAUUAGCAAUAAAUAAAAUAUCACAACUAAGGUGGAAAUACGAAGAGAGACAACCCGAGAAAUUUUUUCAGGUGCAGCACACACUCCUGAAACCAGACAGAACAUGCCGUGCAACCCCCACCACCACCUUCAGAAAAUCCAUAAUAAUC
Molecule: long non-coding RNA, 771 nt
Filed under: Triticum aestivum (bread wheat)
Lineage: Eukaryota; Viridiplantae; Streptophyta; Magnoliopsida; Poales; Poaceae
Description: long non-coding RNA (TAES_LNC017495)
Source: RNAcentral